Molecule: long non-coding RNA, 240 nt
Filed under: Vigna radiata
Lineage: Eukaryota; Viridiplantae; Streptophyta; Magnoliopsida; Fabales; Fabaceae
Description: long non-coding RNA (VRAD_LNC003063)
Source: RNAcentral
AAUGGAGUUAGGAGGGAGAGCAUAGUACCAUUCAAGAGCUUCCCCCUUCAGGGAUAGGGAAAACGCUCGGCAUUUGACCGGAUCGUCACUGGAAUAAAAGGCCAUUGAAUCCAGGAAGCUUCGGAGGUGAUGUUCUGGGUCGGUUGUUCCAUCAAAUUUUUCUAUCUGCGGAGGAGGCCGGUCGGGCAUAGGAGCCUGCAUGAUAGCCUCCGUGAAAGGUAGCAGGUCCGGUGAGCGAGG